Long non-coding RNA from Mytilus californianus (California mussel), 864 nucleotides. RefSeq lists it as uncharacterized. The transcript is spliced from 2 exons. NCBI's taxonomy places the organism in Eukaryota, Metazoa, Mollusca, Bivalvia, Mytilida, Mytilidae. The record is from RefSeq and is a predicted model, not a curated record.
UUGUUGCAUUCUGUCGGCGGAAAAGCAGAUCGGCAAACUAUAUUUUACACAAAAUCGUAGAAGGGAAACUUACAGUACAAUAUAAGCUGCUCUGAAUAUUGCAGUCGAAUUCACAUUAGUUUGAGCAUCAUUCCCAGCCAGAUUAUGAAGCCUGCAUAUACAUGAUAUAGGAAAUAUAUAUAGAUGUCACUAAGUAACUCUCAUAGCUGCUAAUUGUGAAACAGUGGAUUAAUCUAUAAUUUUGUGUUUACUUAUUGCUUUUGUAAAUAACAAAUAGGGCUUACAGCAUUAUGCCAUGAUGUUGAUGGGAUGUUCGGAUUAGAUUGGACAAGAAGAAAAUUGUGCAUUGAACAAAUAGCAAACUUACAAUUUGUAAGAAAGACUACAUUACUUGAUGACAGUGAAUACCUUUGAUAUAUUAUUCAUUUGAAAUAACAAUUUGGAACAAAGAGAAUUCAUAGUUUUCUGGGAAUAUUAAUAGUGCAUCAUAUCUGAAUUCCAUGAAUAUCUGGAUAGUUAUUCAUUUAGAAUAGCAAAUUGGAAUAAUGAAAAUUCAUAGUUUCAGUGAUUAGUAAUAGUCAAAUCAAAUCAAACUUGUAUUGCCAUAUAAACCAACUUAUACGAUUUGUGACAAAAACAACAUUAAUAAUUAUAUACAUUAAAUGCCAAGAAAAAAGCAUGUAUAAUCAUAUUAAACAAACUAAUGAAAAUAGUUCAAAAUUCAAUUAUGAGUCCCCUAUCCUUAGUGCCAAUGACUUUUUUAUAAAGGAACCUAUGCUUUCUAUCUGUUUUUGUGUUGAUGGGCAAAGAAUAUUUCUAAUUUUUUCAUUUUCAUUGAGGCUAUUAAAAUUUUCUAUACUUUUA